This 395-nucleotide ribosomal RNA is filed under the name uncultured bacterium. Its description in RNAcentral is "bacterial SSU rRNA". It matches the Rfam family "Bacterial small subunit ribosomal RNA", at positions 972 to 1365 of the family's 1533-position model. The record is from RNAcentral.
UACCUGGGUUUGACAUCUACGGAAGUCGGGGUAAUGCCCGAUGUGCCCUUCGGGGAGCCGUAAGACAGGUGCUGCAUGGCUGUCGUCAGCUCGUGUCGUGAGAUGUUCGGUUAAGUCCGGCAACGAGCGCAACCCUUGUCUCCUGUUGCUACCAGUUCGGCUGGGCACUCUGGAGAGACUGCCGAUGUGAAAUCGGAGGAAGGUGGGGAUGACGUCAAGUCCUCAUGGCCCUUAUGCCCAGGGCUACACACGUGCUACAAUGGCUGGUACAAAGAGCUGCGAGACCGCGAGGUCAAGCCAAUCUCAAAAAGCCAGCCUCAGUUCAGAUUGCAGUCUGCAACUCGACUGCAUGAAGGCGGAAUCGCUAGUAAUCGCGGAUCAGCAUGCCGCGUGGA